Molecule: unclassified non-coding RNA, 2355 nt
Filed under: Copidosoma floridanum
Lineage: Eukaryota; Metazoa; Arthropoda; Insecta; Hymenoptera; Encyrtidae
Description: luc7-like protein 3, transcript variant X2
Source: RNAcentral
UCUCUCUCUGCGAGAUUUUCGUCCCACAAGUUUGCAACUCUCACCUUUUGUUUCCCCGCAUCUCUUGUAAAAUUGGCGCGUGGUUGGUGGUUCCGUCCAUUCGUGGCAUCUACUUCAGUUUUAUCGUUUAUAAGUACCCGUUAGACCGCAAACAAGAGUCCAUUAAUUCACCCUUUCUUUGAACAACAACAUAUUGUAGUCGCCACGCCACCAAGCCGAAAUUGCCGACUUUGUCCUCGUCUCUCGUGCGCGUCGUCGCAUGUUUUUGUAGCAAAUAAUAUAUUACGCAAAGUUUGUGCGUAUAGGUGCGACGCGCUCAAGAAAAGGUUAUAUUGAACUAAUUCAACGCUUACGCUAAAGUUGUUCAUUUGCUGUUGGUAGACGUUCACACUAGUAAUUUACUUUUUUGGAUUUUUGGAUCAAGUUUUUACAUCUGAUUACUAACUAUAAAGAGCCAUGGCCGCUGCGGCGGCUGCUGCGCUCCUCGACGAGCUCAUGGGCAGGAACAGAAACGUUUUACCAAACGAAAAACCCAAGGAGCUCAACUGGGAGGACUCCGAGUUCUGCAAGUUGUACCUCGUCAAAUUCUGUCCACAUGACUUGUUUGUUAAUACAAGGGCAGAUUUGGGAGCCUGCUUGAAAGUACAUGACGAUGAGGCCAGAGAAUUGUAUGAAAAAGCUCCCUACAGUUACCGCAAGCAACAGUACGAAGACGAGUUUAUCAGAUUUUGCCAAAGCAUGCUCAACGAAGUGGAGAGAAAAAUUGUCAAAGGCAAACAACGACUGGCCUUAAUUGGGAGGACAGAAGCCCCAACAUUGUCACCUGCUCAAACUCAAAAGAAUGAAGAACAAAUUACCUUGCUCUCGGAAAAAAUUAACAAACUGGUGGAAGAAGCGGAACAGAGUGGAAUUCAGGGCAAUGUUGAACAGGCUCAAGGCUUGAUGCGUUUGUGCGAUCAAUUAAAGGAAGAGAGGGAGACUUUGCGUAAAUCCAACGACAAUAGCCAUUACAACCAAACUGCAGAAUUAGCUGCUGCCCAAGAAAAACAAAUGGAAGUCUGUGAUGUUUGUGGCGCAUUCCUUAUCGUUGGCGAUGCUCAACAACGAAUUGAUGAUCAUUUAAUGGGUAAACAGCAUGUGGGCUAUGCCAGGUUGAAGAGUGCACUGCAAGAGAUUCAGGGCAAGCGAGAAAAACUAAGAGAAGAAAAAGAUAUGGAAAGAAAACGAUCACGGGAUGAAGAGGAUAGACGACGAAGACAUGACCGUGGCAGAGAUCGGGAAAGAAGAGAUAGGCACAGAGAUAGAGCUGGAGAUAAGGGAGGAGAUAGAGGAGACAAAGGGGGAGAUCAUGAUAGAGACAGACGUAGAAGAAAGGAGGAAGAAAAAAGAUGUGACCCGCAAAGAAAUUCUAAGCAUCGAAGUAGAAGUAAGUCCAAAGAAAAGCACGAUCGUCGAGAUGAAGACAAAGAUCGGCGCCAUAAAGACCGAGGUAGUCAUGAUCAUCAUUCUAACCAUCAAAAUCGCAAACGACACCGAUCCCGAAGUAGAAGUCACAAGUAACUACUCUUGAUCGGUUAGUGAGUGAGCGAAAAUUCAGGUUGUACACGCAAAUUUAAUGAUAAAUACACCCCAAGGACAGCGGUAGAUUGUUUUUGUAACGAAUUUUAAAGCGGUUUAGAGCUAUUAUAACGGAGAGGAUUAAACAGUGUGCCCACUUCUUCCAAUAAACCAAUGUGCCUCGACAGUGUGCUGAAUAUACAAUCCUAAGCUUCUGCCUACGCACAAAAAAUUCAGAGGAAGAUUAAAGCAGCCGAAUACUCAUACAACUUAUAAGAUUAGUUAUGCAUCAACAGCUGUACGAUGAAGACAAAAGGAGUCAGACUAUACUGGGGAUCCAGUUAAAGGUAACGAUUUUCCAUACUAUGGUUUGAGAUUAUACAUAAUGGGCAAGAACGUGGGAUUCGGACGCAAUCUCGGAAUGAUGUUUUCCUCCUCAAGACGAAACUAAUGAUGCGCGAAUGUCGCUAUUUUCACAAUUUUUCAUUCACUCAAUUCAGAUAUACACAUACUUAUAUAUAUAUAAUAAUAAGUAUGCGUGUUGUGAGAUUAAUUUUCGUCACUUCAAUCAAACAAUUUAUUUUUUGAUUUUUGUUACUCUGUUACCAAUGCAACUUUUAAUUUUUUCAUUGUUUAUUAUCUGAAUUGUAGUAUUUGAACAAUCUUGUUAUAAUAAAAGCUAAGUUUUGGACCUUCAGAUGCUGUUUUAGUUUAUUUAUAACGAAUAAAUGAAAAAAAUUUGUGUACCAUAAAUGAUUUUUCUGUAAGCAUAGAAUAAAGGUCUUUUAAUUCAUGUCA